UCCGGUAUGAUCUAGUGGUCAUGAUAUUCGGCUUUCACCCGAAAAACGAGGGUUCAAUUCCCUCUAUCGGAACGA
Molecule: transfer RNA, 75 nt
Filed under: Emiliania huxleyi virus 201
Lineage: Varidnaviria; Bamfordvirae; Nucleocytoviricota; Megaviricetes; Algavirales; Phycodnaviridae
Also listed under: 3 other names
Description: tRNA-Glu
Rfam family: tRNA
About the family: Transfer RNA (tRNA) molecules are approximately 80 nucleotides in length. Their secondary structure includes four short double-helical elements and three loops (D, anti-codon, and T loops).
Source: RNAcentral